This 1014-nucleotide long non-coding RNA is filed under the name Mus spicilegus (steppe mouse). RNAcentral describes it as "lncRNA (ENSMSIG00000010225.1)". Lineage: Eukaryota; Metazoa; Chordata; Mammalia; Rodentia; Muridae. The record is from RNAcentral.
CUGAGCUUUGCACAGCCGCACUGAUCCGACUUCCUCUGCAGGCCCGUGGGAGUGGCCUGACCCAAUCUUCAUAAAGUACACGGUUCUCUGCCCCUCAUGUAUUUCAUGCUUAAAAUUCAUACACAUUUAUGUUUCUCCUAAUUAGAAAGAGUCUCUCGCCCCACCCCCACCUCCCGACCCCAAAUAAGUUACUUAUUCUCCCUGUGGCUCCUAGUCCCUGCUCUCUCACCCCGCAGCCUGGUCUGGUACAUGAAAUUAUUUAUCUAGAGAGCCGUGGAAUCCCUCGCCUACAGCCAGAGGAAUUGAGGUGACUGGGAUUGGCUUCUCUGAUAAUUAAAAAGCCGAGGGAAGAACACAAAGAUGGGCUCCAGGGUGCUGAGGUUGGACCACAGCGUCGCCGGGCUAUGACGUCACCGGGCUAUGACAUCACCAUGGAGAUUCGGACAGGUACUGUGGACGUCCGGACUGGUGUCGACAGGGAGGGAAAACCCAAGGUUCUGGUCCUUUUCUCUACUCUUCCUUUUGCCUGUAACUUUGGGUCAGGUCCUGGAAUUUGGGCCCCAAUUUCCUUGCACAAAGGCAGAACCAAAUAGACGAAGCUUCACAGAUGCCCCAGAAAUGACCAUUAUCCACAGACUGCAAAGACUCUCCAGUACCCAUAUGAAGACAACGUUUCAAAACAUCACCGUGGAGUCUAGGCCUGCCAUCUAUGGAUCCUGACCAGUGUUACAGAAACACAGAUUAGUGAACCUGUUAGUGUUAAGAGAUGUGGGAGGAUGUGGAGGCAAACCUGGUGAAGGAAGAAAUGAGACGGAGAACGAGGCACCCCAAGCUCCUACGACCCCUUAAAGAGUCCUGUUCCAGUGUCCACAGUGUAUGAUCUGACUUGCUCCGGGCGUACUGUGAGACAACACAAAGAACCUGAGGCCAGAGCAGUGGCUGCUUUGCUUGUCUUCAUGGAAAUCUCCCUGGGGGAUCGGGGGAUCGGACUCUCUCCUGCAGGCUCAUGGUCAG